UACGUAGGUGGCGAGCGUUGUCCGGAUUUACUGGGCGUAAAGGGAGCGUAGGCGGACUUUUAAGUGAGAUGUGAAAUACCCGGGCUCAACUUGGGUGCUGCAUUUCAAACUGGAAGUCUAGAGUGCAGGAGAGGAGAAGGGAAUUCCUAGUGUAGCGGUGAAAUGCGUAGAGAUUAGGAAGAACACCAGUGGCGAAGGCGAUUCUCUGGACUGUAACUGACGCUGAGGCUCGAAAGCGUGGGGAGCGAACAGGAUUAGAUACCCUUGUAGU
RNAcentral lists this ribosomal RNA (271 nucleotides) under uncultured prokaryote. Its description in RNAcentral is "partial 16S ribosomal RNA". It matches the Rfam family "Bacterial small subunit ribosomal RNA", at positions 524 to 794 of the family's 1533-position model. The record is from RNAcentral.